This 1323-nucleotide ribosomal RNA is filed under the name Salmonella enterica. RNAcentral's name for it is "partial 23S ribosomal RNA". It matches the Rfam family "Bacterial large subunit ribosomal RNA", at positions 137 to 1503 of the family's 2925-position model. RNAcentral also lists the same sequence under 1 other name. Lineage: Bacteria; Pseudomonadati; Pseudomonadota; Gammaproteobacteria; Enterobacterales; Enterobacteriaceae. The record is from RNAcentral.
GACUCGUCACACUAUCAUUAACUGAAUCCAUAGGUUAAUGAGGCGAACCGGGGGAACUGAAACAUCUAAGUACCCCGAGGAAAAGAAAUCAACCGAGAUUCCCCCAGUAGCGGCGAGCGAACGGGGAGGAGCCCAGAGCCUGAAUCAGCAUGUGUGUUAGUGGAAGCGUCUGGAAAGGCGCGCGAUACAGGGUGACAGCCCCGUACACAAAAGCGCAUGUGCUGUGAGCUCGAUGAGUAGGGCGGGACACGUGGUAUCCUGUCUGAAUAUGGGGGGACCAUCCUCCAAGGCUAAAUACUCCUGACUGACCGAUAGUGAACCAGUACCGUGAGGGAAAGGCGAAAAGAACCCCGGCGAGGGGAGUGAAAAAGAACCUGAAACCGUGUACGUACAAGCAGUGGGAGCACCCUUUGGGGUGUGACUGCGUACCUUUUGUAUAAUGGGUCAGCGACUUAUAUUCUGUAGCAAGGUUAACCGAAUAGGGGAGCCGGAGGGAAACCGAGUCUUAAUUGGGCGUUAAGUUGCAGGGUAUAGACCCGAAACCCGGUGAUCUAGCCAUGGGCAGGUUGAAGGUUGGGUAACACUAACUGGAGGACCGAACCGACUAAUGUUGAAAAAUUAGCGGAUGACCUGUGGCUGGGGGUGAAAGGCCAAUCAAACCGGGAGAUAGCUGGUUCUCCCCGAAAGCUAUUUAGGUAGCGCCUCGUGAAUUCAUCUCCGGGGGUAGAGCACUGUUUCGGCUAGGGGGCCAUCCCGGCUUACCAACCCGAUGCAAACUGCGAAUACCGGAGAAUGUUAUCACGGGAGACACACGGCGGGUGCUAACGUCCGUCGUGAAGAGGGAAACAACCCAGACCGCCAGCUAAGGUCCCAAAGUCAUGGUUAAGUGGGAAACGAUGUGGGAAGGCCCAGACAGCCAGGAUGUUGGCUUAGAAGCAGCCAUCAUUUAAAGAAAGCGUAAUAGCUCACUGGUCGAGUCGGCCUGCGCGGAAGAUGUAACGGGGCUAAACCAUGCACCGAAGCUGCGGCAGCGACACUCAGGUGUUGUUGGGUAGGGGAGCGUUCUGUAAGCCUGCGAAGGUGGCCUGUGAGGGUUGCUGGAGGUAUCAGAAGUGCGAAUGCUGACAUAAGUAACGAUAAAGCGGGUGAAAAGCCCGCUCGCCGGAAGACCAAGGGUUCCUGUCCAACGUUAAUCGGGGCAGGGUGAGUCGACCCCUAAGGCGAGGCCGAAAGGCGUAGUCGAUGGGAAACGGGUUAAUAUUCCCGUACUUGGUGUUACUGCGAAGGGGGGACGGAGAAGGCUAUGUUGGCCGGGCGACGGUU